GAGAAAGAGAACAAGAGCGAACGGAGGAUGCCUUGGCUUCCGAAAGCGACGAAGGACGUGGUAAGCUGCGAAAAGCUCCGGGGAUCUGCAAACAGGAAUUGAUCCGGAGAUGUCCGAAUGGGGGAACCCCUGCAGUUGAAGACUGCAGACCAUCGUGAGAUGGAGCGAACGCAGGGAACUGAAACAUCUUAGUACCUGCAGGAAAAGAAAGAAAUCAUCGAUUCCCGGAGUAGUGGCGAUCGAAACGGGAAGAGCCUAAACCGAGUGCGUUACGGCGUAUUCGGGGUUGUAGGACCAUUCAUAAAGAACCAGCUAGGAACCGGAACUGUCUGGAAAGUCAGUCCGCAGAGGGUGAAAGGCCCGUACGGGUAACGGGGCUGGGUCGAGAGUGGCACCUGAGUAGGGCGGGACACGUGGAAUCCUGUCUGAAUCCGCGGCGACCAUGCCGCAAGGCUAAAUAUAACCGGAAGACCGAUAGUGGAACAGUACCGUGAGGGAAAGUUGGGAAGCACCCCGAACAGGGGAGUGAAAUAGAACCUGAAACCGUUCGUUUACAAGCGGUCGGAGUCGAAAGACGACGGCGUGCCUUUU
Molecule: ribosomal RNA, 591 nt
Filed under: Bacteroidales bacterium
Lineage: Bacteria; Pseudomonadati; Bacteroidota; Bacteroidia; Bacteroidales
Description: partial 23S ribosomal RNA
Rfam family: Bacterial large subunit ribosomal RNA
Source: RNAcentral